This is a long non-coding RNA of Monodelphis domestica (gray short-tailed opossum), 3015 nucleotides long. RefSeq lists it as uncharacterized. The record is from RefSeq and is a predicted model, not a curated record. Lineage: Eukaryota; Metazoa; Chordata; Mammalia; Didelphimorphia; Didelphidae.
UUAUGUCUCCAAAACCAGCAGCAGUGACAAACAGUCUCUGAGCUCAUAAUUAUGGGCUGGCCACUAAAUGAGAUACUCACAAUGCUAAGAAAUACAAGAAAUACUCUCCUUAUGCCCUUUGGGCUAUUUUUCAGGUAGUCAGUCACAGCUGUUAUCACCCAUAUUUUAGGGGUAAGAAAAUCGAGGUGAACCCAAGAAGAGUUCAGUGAAAGAAAAAGCCUACAGCUCAACUACUCUUUAUCCUGUGCCCUGGGCUUCCUCCAGAGAUAUCCCGGAGCCUCCAGCUGUGGCCCAGACCCCGGAUUCCCUGGUUGGAGCCCCGGCGGUGUAAAUGGGGCCUCCAUUUGCGCCUCAGGCCGUGAAACCAUUCGGUCUCCAGGGUGGCGUUGGCCAAGUGGUGAGCAGAAGAGGACAGGUUCUGUAGGAGGAUGCGGCUUUCCCCUCGAGUGGCCUGAAGGAAGACCUGGGGGGCUGGAGAGGACAGUGACUCGGUGCUGAAGGUAAUGGCUGCCCGUGAGAUACUGGGCUCAUCUUCAAAGAGGCUACGGAUCAGCGCCUGGUACCACUCCAGGUCGUCCUGCAAGUUCUGCUCUAGUGACUUAUUGAUCAUGUUGAGGAAGUUGGUGGCGUAGAUAAGCGUGUCCAUCGCCCCGUGCAAGGAGGGGUGCAGGCUGACCAUGGCGGGGGAUUUCCCCGGCAGGCCCGCUGCCAGCUCGAAGCGGCCGGAGCAAUUGGUUCGCUUCAGUUCAUGGGAGUCCCCUGUGUAGAGGUAAGAGGCCACCUCCGUGGGUACCUCCUCGGAGAGUUUCUGCGCCAAGAUGGUGCCGUCGAUGGACCGGCUCCAGAGAGUCGAAGAAUCUGAAUCUCUGGUGGGCUGAUGGCCAUGCUGCUUCCCUCUAAGGGUCCUCUCUCUAUGGGGUUCCAGGCGCCCCGGUGGGUCACGGCUGGAUCCGGCAGCUCCCAGUCCCAGUUGAGCAAGCAGGAGGCAAAGGAGUAAGGGGUAAACCAUGUCUCUUGGCUGUCUCGGAGUGAGGGGAGCAGAGGUGAUGGGAAGUCACUUUUCAAUAUUUUUUUAUUAAUAAUCACAAUAGUAUUACUAUUGUUGGUCUUCCUUUCUACAGAUGAUAUCAAGGAGAGGAGAUGGAGAUUUUAAAAAUAAGAAAUUUUAAAAAUAGCCUGGAUCUCAAAGCAACUGUAAGCAGGGAACCAAGUCACCUGUGGCAAUGCUGACUGCGAUCUCCUCUCCACAAUAGGCUAGCCCUGGGGAUUACGCACCUCGCAGCCUUGAUCUGAGCAGGUUACAUCCCAUCUCGCUACACGGCAGCUAUAGUUAGCCUGCUUACGUCUUUAUCCCCAUCCGUUUCCACUGCCGCUUUCAUUGAGGUGUGUUAACGAGAUGCUUCUGCUGCUGCCGCCUGCAAGCGCCGCUCCAUCAUCUAACCAGUGGCAGGUUCUCCCCCUCUUCACCCCCCCUCCCCAACUCAAGCUCCUCCUCAUUCACUUCCCACGGAGACUCGGAUUGCGCGCGCGCGCACACACACACACACACACACACACACACACACACACACACACACUGCAAGAAAAUCUGAAGAAGCAAAGAUAUUUUCGAGAAAGAGGGGAAACGGUGUGCAUGUCUCUGUGAAAAAAAGGAUGCAUAAAUGGCUGGUUGAUUGAAGUACAUUGGUUUGGCCAAGAAAAUAUACUUCCCUCCUUCCAGUACUGGCUGGGUUUUUUUUUUUUUGGGGGGGGGGGGAGGAGGUUAGCGAUGUCUGUUAACUAGGCACUUUAGCCACAACCAACCCCUUAUUAACGCUCAGAGGGGCCUUGUAGGUCGGUAUCCAGUCACCUCGCUCCGUGAAUGGUCGAUUCAUCUGUCAAUCAUCAAGCUUCCUUUCACCGGGCAGGCAUAGGGAGCUGUCCAGUGCUGAACCUGAGAGGCUACAAGGCGACUGCAAAGGGUCAACUGGGUGAGGGAGGUGGGGUAUUAAGGGAAAGGAAAGAAGGCGAGGAGAUAAGGAAGCAGAGAAAGAGAAGGAAGUAGGGAAAAAGGAGGAGAGGGGAGGGGGAGGAGAAGGCGGAAGAAGAUGAAAAAGGGGGUGGGGGGGAAGAGGAUGAAGAGAAAUUCCAAAAGAUAUGAAAUCCUGAGGGAAAGAUCAGAGAUUUGGAAUCUUACCAAGCAAACCUAGUUUGAGAACAAUGUUGACAUUUCCACAUUCUCAAUUAAAGCAGACUUUUGCUCUGGGAUUCCUGUAUAAAGACAUGGAGGGGAAGAAUAAGUAGACUUGGUUUCUACCUCAAAAAAAAAAAUAAGGGAAACAGUUUCCCAUGCAUCUGCUCAUUUUAAGCAAAUUAUUAAAACAUCUUCCUUGGUUUUGAUUAAAAAAUAAAAACAACUACUUUCUGGGGCUAGCCCUAAGUAUGAGCAAGUAAUGGAGACAUCUGCUGGCAAACCCUAAAAACUGAAACUUAGAAUAUUCUUAGACAAGGGGAUAGGGCAGGCAGCAAAGAAGUUGUAGGGCCGGGUAGUUAUAGAAGCAAUAUAAAAAGGGCCUAUGUGUUGUGGGUAAAUAAUUUCUUAUACUGUUCAGGAAACAAUAUUAUAAUGCUUAAACCCAACCUUCCGUAAUUAAAGUUGUCCAUCCCAGAAUGUCCUUUGACACCAAGUAACUCUCUAGAAAUGCCAGAAAUAGCUAUAAGGUAUUUUCAAUUCCCCCAGGCCAUAGAUACACCCAAAGCAUACUUGUUUUAGGUGAGCACACCUAGGAAUUCCUGAUGGGUCUACCCCAAGCUUCUAUUUAGGGCUACAAUUACUCAUUUCUACCUCCAUCUACCUUGAUUUUAGGCUGCCCUCUUAGCAAAAUUGUUAAACUGAAUACAUGGGGUUCCUGUUUGGAAAACCUUUGUCAAAAUCCUCCUCCAUAAUGUAAAUCUUCCAGGAUCUGGAAAGAGCCACCCCUCUUUUCUGGCUCAUUCCCUCUACAAAAUGACCUAAUAAAUUUAUUUCUAAAACUA